This 76-nucleotide transfer RNA is filed under the name Sphaerodactylus townsendi. RNAcentral describes it as "tRNA-Ala". It matches the Rfam family "tRNA". Rfam says of the family: Transfer RNA (tRNA) molecules are approximately 80 nucleotides in length. Their secondary structure includes four short double-helical elements and three loops (D, anti-codon, and T loops). Further hydrogen bonds mediate the characteristic L-shaped molecular structure. tRNAs have two regions of fundamental functional importance: the anti-codon, which is responsible for specific mRNA codon recognition, and the 3' end, to which the tRNAs corresponding amino acid is attached (by aminoacyl-tRNA synthetases). tRNAs cope with the degeneracy of the genetic code in two manners: having more than one tRNA (with a specific anti-codon) for a particular amino acid; and 'wobble' base-pairing, i.e. permitting non-standard base-pairing at the 3rd anti-codon position. The record is from RNAcentral. Lineage: Eukaryota; Metazoa; Chordata; Lepidosauria; Squamata; Sphaerodactylidae.
GGAAAGAGCUGUGGCUCAGUGGUAGAGCAUCCGCUUGGCAUGCAGGCGGCUCCAGGUUCAAUCCCUGGCAUUUCCU